CUAGUAAUCGCGGAUCAGAAUGCCGCGGUGAAUACGUUCCCGGGUCUUGUACACACCGCCCGUCACACCAUGGGAGUCGGAAAUGCCCGAAGUCUGUGACCCAACCGAAAGGAGGGAGCAGCCGAAGGCAGGUCGGAUGACUGGGGUGAAGUCGUAACAAGGUAAC
Molecule: ribosomal RNA, 166 nt
Filed under: uncultured bacterium
Lineage: Bacteria
Description: partial 16S ribosomal RNA
Rfam family: Bacterial small subunit ribosomal RNA
Source: RNAcentral